UUAAAGGUUUUUUUAAAAACCACCUGGCUCAUUUUAAAAUGAUGAAU
Pan troglodytes (chimpanzee) is the source of this 47-nucleotide non-coding RNA. The record is from Rfam. Lineage: Eukaryota; Metazoa; Chordata; Mammalia; Primates; Hominidae.